This 82-nucleotide transfer RNA is filed under the name Caudoviricetes sp. RNAcentral's name for it is "tRNA-OTHER". It matches the Rfam family "tRNA". Rfam says of the family: Transfer RNA (tRNA) molecules are approximately 80 nucleotides in length. Lineage: Duplodnaviria; Heunggongvirae; Uroviricota; Caudoviricetes. The record is from RNAcentral.
GCAGACGUAGCUUAAUCGGUAAAGCGUUGCGGCCGCGACACAACUAUGCUUGGGUAUGCAGGUUCAAUCCCUGCCGUCUGCG